AGCAAGGACGAACACGGCACUAACCAAUUGUACCAAAAGCAAUCUAAAUGGUACUUUCUCCUCUUUGUGACAACACGUGGCGAUAUUAUUGUUAAGCACGUAUGCUAUAAAAGUGAACAAAACAUAGCAAUGCUCUCCGCUGCUUCACAACUGUAUGAACAAUGAUUCUGCUACAAGAAUUAGCCGCUCGGUCUUUCCCCAAAGAAUGUCGGUGAAGAUUUUGCAAAUGACUGGACGGUCCAAAAUCGUCUAAGUUUGAUCGUGUAAAAAGAUAAAUUCCAUUUAAAGUUGGGGUUUGCACCUGCAUGUGAUUGUUUGUUUAAGAUCUUCAGUGAAAGCAUUCCGAAUUGACAUCAGGAACAAAAAAAUAGUAAUUGAAGGUAGUGAAGACUUUUAUGCUUAUGAUAUUUUUGACCGAAUUUUGAAUUGAAUUAGGUUAAGGGUCCUGACUCCUUAUUUUACUGAGUAUUGAUUGUGCUAACAUUUUUGAAGCUAAAAUCAAAAGGAACUCUAUUGUUUUAGAUGUUUUACAUCAACCAUGACAAAAGACACUAUCAGGGACCUCCCUUCUAAAUCUGUAAGUGAAGAUUUAUAAAGUUAUUUUCUUGAUUGUUAGCUUUAGAUAAUUAUAUUGGUGUGUAUUUUACUCAAGCUGCUCUCUUUAAAUCUUUCCCCUAAGAUCGAUUCCUAUUUCUUCAGCGAGAAAAUAAAAUUACACAUACCAUGGAGUUUAUCAAAUGUCAGUAAUUAGGUCUGAAUUUCUUUGCGAUUAUGAUUCUCUUCACACAUCCACUGCCUCCAAGUUUCUGUGACUGCAGGAAGUGCUCGAUUUAUCUUGCUAACUUUUGCAUGACAGCGAACUACCUAGCAUAGGAAUUGACUCUCUUUUUUCUUCAAUGAGGAAGUCUUUAGUCAGAAAUGGAGAACAGAUGGUUGAUAUUGAUACAAAAAGCUAAGCAUAGGUAGCAUUUUAGGUACAACUUUCACUAACCAAAUGCAUUAUAUGUGAUUUCUUCCCAUCUAGGAUAGAGUUACCUGUUGCUGGUGAGAGGAGUUCACAUCUAGGAAAAGGUUUGACGCCUUAAUAUCAGCUCUUUGCCACUCGGAGCUAUUGUAUGUUUCAAGGGUUGGGUUAUUCGUCCAUUAAAGUCGUUCGUAUGUGAGCUCUAUUCAGAACCUUGUGAGAUAGUUCAAUGCCACUUUGGUUGACUCUUGAACAUGUGGAAGGACUUUAAAUCCACGUGUGUGCAACGCAAAAUGCAUCUUCUGCAUCUAUUCUAAAGACCCGAGGUAACCUUCAUCUAACUCUCAGUUUCCAUCUUUGUCUCCUGUCACUCAGUCUCUCUGAAAAUUGAAACAUGAUUUUCAUAAUUAUGUACAGAAGAUGACCACCAUUCAUUACGAACAAUUGACCUGAUUAAUUUUUUCAACUCCCUGUGAAUGAAAUGCUAAAAUCUGUUAUAUCAAGUUAGGCGCUUGCACUAAAUGGAAGAGAUCUUUUGGACCGUGCUGUGAGGCUAGACUUGGCACAGUGAGAGGGGAGAAUAUACACCACACAGUGGGUAUGCAAUUUCUCUCUCCCCUUAUUGCUUUCAUUUAAGUUAAAAGUAGAGAUGUCACUUAAGUAUGUGUAAAUCUUAUGUUAUUUGAAGACGAAAUAUUAUUCAGGAUUAAGUUUCUGCUGCAAAGAAAAGUGUUAAUUCUGUACAACUGAUAUUGAUAAUGUUCCUUAUUACUGUAAUUUAAUAACUUUUUAACUUUGUAGGAAUGAUGAAAACACAAAAUUCUAUUAUAUUGCUACUUAUCCUUCCUAUACAAUUACAUGAACCCUAGAGCAUCGCUAUGUUAAUUGAGCUUCUUAAGUGACAAUAAGAAAUUCCAAUAUGAGUAUACUUAUGUCACGAAAACUAUUAUUUUUGUUUGCUUCUUAGUUUGUGUUCUUUGUAUAGAAAUACAACGUUUAUUCUGUUUGUGUCGUUUGUAUAACAAACAAUUUAUAUAUUAUAGGACCAAGUAGUAAAGAUACACUUUUGAAAUGGUAUAGGUUGUUUGGUCAUUAUGAGUUUAAAUUCUUCAUCUAUAUGGAACUAGCGAUCUCCUACAUUGAUAAUGUGAAAUCAUACGGGUCUAUGUCAUGAUGGGGGAAUAACAAUAAGGAGGAAAAUAAGUGCUAUAGAAACCAAAAAAUGACAAAGUUUAGAGAACAGACAUGAGCAAAAGCUUAGAUAGCUUGCUGAUUUGGACUAAUCAGCGACAUUGAAUAAGAUUAAAAGUAGUAUUUGGCGAAGCAGCCUAUUUGCAAAGCUAAUUCUAGGACAGGAUCUUCGGUUCAAUAAUCUCUCUUAUAGCGUCACAGGGAAAGUCAAGAAAGAUGAUUUGAUCAAUAGUGAAGCUUAUCUUCUUAAUGAUUCUCUGGAUAAGCCUCGAGAGGCAUAAUCAUGGCCAUCAUGUGGCCUUAUGAUGCUGGAAAUUUUACUUCUCUCAAUCCAAUUGUUGAAAUGCUUAUGGUAGCCUUGAGGGACUAUUAGGAAUUGAUGGCAAGUCUGUUGUGUGAGAAGUGUGAACAAUUUCGCAUCAAUCCAAGAACACUACUGAUCGAAAGAAACUUAUAUAAGUGACAUAUGAAACCAACCAACACUUACAUAAAAAUUUCAUUAAAAAAUUAACUUGAUCAAGGAGGCCGCCAAAAAUUCUAGAAUCUAAGAUGUUCUUCAAACUUUUGAAGCUCUUCUGGAUGUGUCUAUUGAUGAUCUAAGAAUAUAUUUUGAUAAAGUUGGCAGCCUUGAUAUCAACAAAGUUAAGGGUUACAAUGAUGAUUUAAAAACAAGGAUUAAUGCUUCAGUUACUUAUCGACAAAUAUGUUUAGAUGUUUUCAUAACACAAUUGGUUACAAAGGUGACAAAAUGAAUAAAUUAUUAAAAACUGCAGGGGAAUUCACUAGCGAUACCUUUCCAUGAUCACUAGCUUGGGCUAAAACUUAGUACAUCAUCAUGCUGAAAAAUUAGCUAUUACUUUCAAAAUUCAUUAUAUGAUGAAAUUUGAACUUGCUCCAUCUUUUACAGAAGUCUUUUAAUUACAAUUACUUUGGUCUGUUCUUCUAAAAAUUGUCUAUAAAAAAUUUAGUUUAUUUUUAAUACACUUUCGUGAUUCGGCUCUCUGAAUUCAUGCAUAGCCGAAGUUUUAAUGCACCGUAUUAUACUUUUUUACUUUUUAGAUUUCUUACUUAUUGUGUUUUUUUAAUUAUUAAAUUCUCGGGUUGAGGUUUGAUGCUAUCUCUGUUCGGAUAGCAUGUGUUAGAGAAGCUAAUCCAUAUAUGAAUAUGUUGGUGACCUUUGUGAUAAGAGAUAUCUUUAUUCCCUUCUCUGUUUGUCCUUCUUAAUGUCGUUAAAUUUGACAAAUCUUUCAUUUGUUUCCACUAGCCCUUCGGAGAUACAUGUCUUAAUGAUUUCUAUAUUUAUGAAAUUAUUUCAAAAUUAUUUGGAUGUAGGGUUCCGAGUAUUGAUACUAAUCUUGAUUUAAUUACAUUUUAAGUUCUUACAAAUAUUAUUGACUGGAUAUGCUUGUACUUUGUGAUGUAAGGCUCAACCAUCCCAGAAAAGGAAGAUGUAACAAAGAUCUACAUUCAACUUGAAGGUUAAAGGUUAACAACAGGACAAAUAAUGUUCUGAUGAAAUUCCAACCAGAACAAAACUCGAGCUCCAAAAUUGAAUGUGAUGGUUUAUAACAAAGAUCUUUCUCAAAUUUUCUUAUUAGAUCUGUCCUUGUGAACGCGAGAAGGAGUUUCUCAUCUACACCCAUGAGAGAAGAGGCUAUUCUAGCUGGUUUUUGCAAUUUAUCAUCCAACUUUUGCCUCUUUUCAAUGCUUGGUAUCGCCAAUUCUAAUUAUGCACAUUACUGUAUCCUUUUGGUUUAGUACUUGCAUCUGGACAAUUUCUUCAUCUUGGCCUUUUGGCAAGUCCUCCCGUGGCUAUAGUAAAGAAGAAUUGUGCCACUAUUAGCUUUCUCUUUCAUGCAUAGUUUCUCUUAUCUUUGAGCCAAUAAAAAGUUGUGAUCAUCCCAAAUGAGUUACGGCUUAGGAGUGUAUGCUGAAUUUCACUAAAGUGCUAAUUUCUUGGUUUGUGCUAUAAUAUUUUUGUUUAGUUUCCUUUACUUUGAGCUAUGAAAGGUAGCGGUCGUUUUACUUAAGUAAUAUGUGUAAAUAGAAUUUCAUAAAAGGUUCUGGAGUAAAGCUAGCUCUUUCUAUCAUAACAUCCGGUACUGAGAUUGCUUUUACUCUAAUUGUGCAACCAACAACUGCUAAAUUUUUUUUUUGGUAUCUUUUCUGAGGUACUGGUAAGAUUUGCGUACACUUUGUCCUCCCAGAUCUCACCUAUGGAAUUCUACUGGUAUAUUAUUAUUGUAUCUUCUUACUGAUAUCUGAACUUCUUGUUAAAGUUUACAUUUUGGCACAUCUUCUUCUUCCGUUAACUGCCUUUGUACAUGAAUGUGAGAAUUCCUGACCACAGUAUUAACUUUAAGUUAUCUGAUUCCUGCACAUUUUUAAUGUUUCAUGGAUACACAUAUUUUCUUUCUGUUUUCUGUUUUCUGUUUUCGUCUAUAUUUUAUGAACUAAUUUAAUAGGUUGAUAAAAUGCAGACAAUGAGAAUCUUUUACUCACAUAUCAAUUGUACCAUAAUUGUGUAUGGGAUCUUUUGAGUCUAUCAGCCCCAACAAGGACUGCGGAAUCAAUGUUGGGCUUCAAGAAGCGAAAGAGAUGUUGAAACUCUUCACGAGACAUACCUUUGCAUCACUAUAUCUGUGAAUGUGUCUUGUAGCAUCUUUAGCAAGUAUGUUAGUUUUGAAUAUUCCCUUUUUACCUGAUCUAUGUUGGCAGAUUAGCUUUGGUUUGAUAAUGUUAGCCAAAUAUACAUUUUUAAGCAAGAUAUACCCAAUGACCAAUGCAAUAUUUAUGUUACUCUAUACAAUCUACUAUGUGAUCUUUUUCA
Molecule: long non-coding RNA, 4985 nt
Organism: Capsicum annuum
Lineage: Eukaryota; Viridiplantae; Streptophyta; Magnoliopsida; Solanales; Solanaceae
Exons: 3
Source: RefSeq, a predicted model, not a curated record